This 76-nucleotide transfer RNA is filed under the name Gammaproteobacteria bacterium. Its description in RNAcentral is "tRNA-Lys". It matches the Rfam family "tRNA". From Rfam's summary of the family: Transfer RNA (tRNA) molecules are approximately 80 nucleotides in length. Their secondary structure includes four short double-helical elements and three loops (D, anti-codon, and T loops). Further hydrogen bonds mediate the characteristic L-shaped molecular structure. tRNAs have two regions of fundamental functional importance: the anti-codon, which is responsible for specific mRNA codon recognition, and the 3' end, to which the tRNAs corresponding amino acid is attached (by aminoacyl-tRNA synthetases). tRNAs cope with the degeneracy of the genetic code in two manners: having more than one tRNA (with a specific anti-codon) for a particular amino acid; and 'wobble' base-pairing, i.e. permitting non-standard base-pairing at the 3rd anti-codon position. RNAcentral also lists the same sequence under 7 other names. Lineage: Bacteria; Pseudomonadati; Pseudomonadota; Gammaproteobacteria. The record is from RNAcentral.
GGGCCGUUAGCUCAGUUGGUAGAGCAGUGGACUUUUAAUCCAUUGGUCGAAGGUUCAAGUCCUUCACGGCCCACCA